AUUGAACGCUGGCGGCAUGCUUUACACAUGCAAGUCGAACGGUAACAGGCCGCAAGGUGCUGACGAGUGGCGAACGGGUGAGUAAUGCAUCGGAACGUGCCCAGUCGUGGGGGAUGACGCAGCGAAAGCUGUGCUAAUACCGCAUACGAUCUACGGAUGAAAGCGGGGGACCGUAAGGCCUCGCGCGAUUGGAGCGGCCGAUGUCAGAUUAGGUAGUUGGUGGGGUAAAGGCCUACCAAGCCGACGAUCUGUAGCGGGUCUGAGAGGACGACCAGCCACACUGGGACGGAGGCACGGCGCAGACGACUACGGGAUGCAGCAGGGGGGAGUCUUGGACAAUGGGCGGAAGCCUGAUCCAGCAAUGCCGCGUGCAGGAAGAAGGCUUUCGGGUUGUAAACUGCUUUUGUACGGAACGAAACGGUCUGGGUUAAUACCCUGGGCUAAUGACGGUACCGUAAGAAUAAGCACCGGCUAACUACGUGCCAGCAGCCGCAGUAA
Molecule: ribosomal RNA, 498 nt
Filed under: uncultured bacterium
Lineage: Bacteria
Description: partial 16S ribosomal RNA
Rfam family: Bacterial small subunit ribosomal RNA
Source: RNAcentral